Molecule: non-coding RNA, 74 nt
Organism: Myotis davidii
Lineage: Eukaryota; Metazoa; Chordata; Mammalia; Chiroptera; Vespertilionidae
Source: Rfam
GGCGGUUCUUGGCGCAACACCCCAGAAUCGGGCUCCCUCCUCUCUAGUUCUGGGUGCAUCACCGGAGAACAGCA